CACGGCGCACGGGUGCGUAACACGUGGGCAAUCUGCCCUUUGAUGGGGAAUAACCCGCCGAAAGGCGGGCUAAUUCCGCAUAAGAUUCCCGGAACUUCGGUUCUGGGAUUGAAAGCAGCAAUGCGUCGAAGGAGGAGCCCGCGCCCGAUUAGCUAGUUGGUGAGAUAACGGCUCACCAAGGCUGUGAUCGGUAGCUGUCUGAGAGGAUGAUCAGCCACACUGGAACUGAGACACGGUCCAGACUCCUACGGGAGGCAGCAGUGGGGAAUCUUGCACAAUGGGCGAAAGCCUGAUGCAGCGACGCCGCGUGGGGGAUGAAGCAUUUCGGUGUGUAAACCCCUUUCGACUGGGAAGAAUACCUCGCAAGAGGGGUGACGGUACCAGUAGAAGAAGCCCCGGCUAACUACGUGCCAGCAGCCGCGGUAAGACGUAGGGGGCCAGCGUUGUUCGGAAUUACUGGGUGUAAAGGGUUCGUACGCGGUGCGGCAAGUUGGGAGUGAAACCUCUGGGCUUAACCCAGAGGCUGCUUCCAA
RNAcentral lists this ribosomal RNA (533 nucleotides) under uncultured bacterium. Its description in RNAcentral is "bacterial SSU rRNA". It matches the Rfam family "Bacterial small subunit ribosomal RNA", at positions 94 to 630 of the family's 1533-position model. The record is from RNAcentral.